GGGACAGUAGCUCAAUGGUAGAGCUCCGGCUUCGUACGCGGGAAGACCUGGGUUCGAUUCCCGGCUGCUUUC
This 72-nucleotide transfer RNA is filed under the name Toxocara canis (dog roundworm). It matches the Rfam family "tRNA". Rfam says of the family: Transfer RNA (tRNA) molecules are approximately 80 nucleotides in length. The record is from Rfam by way of RNAcentral. Lineage: Eukaryota; Metazoa; Nematoda; Chromadorea; Rhabditida; Toxocaridae.